RNAcentral lists this long non-coding RNA (1654 nucleotides) under Mytilus galloprovincialis (Mediterranean mussel). The record is from RNAcentral. Lineage: Eukaryota; Metazoa; Mollusca; Bivalvia; Mytilida; Mytilidae.
GGGCAUUAUGUUUUCUGGUCUGUGGGUCCGUUCGUCUGUCCGUCUGUCCCGCUUCAGGUUAAAAAUUUUCGUCAAGGUAGUAUUUGAUGAAGUUGAAGUCCAAUCAACUUGAAACUUAGUACACAUGUUCCCUAUGAUAUGAACUGUCUUAUUUAAAUGCCAAACUAGAGUUUUGGCCCCAAUUUCACGGUCCAAUAAACAUAGAAAAUGAUAGUGCGAGUGGGGCAUCCGUGUACUAUGGACACAUUUUUGUUUCUAAUACAACCAUUCAUAAGACGAAAAUAAACUGACAAUAAUUGUGGUUAAAAAAAAUGAAAAAAAAAGACACAAGGAUUGAACAGCUUGAAACCCAUCUAAAACCUAAAAGUACAGUCUUAUUUAUACGAGAUGUGUCAUACACACCAGACUUAACUACUGGUGAUAGUUAUCCGGAAAAGAAAUAACAUAUAUCUAUUAUUCCCGUGGUAAGAUAUCGAAAUCAUUCAAGACAUCUUUUUAAAGCUGUCUAAAGUCUGGAACUGGAUUUUAGGUAAAAAUCAUAAUUCGCAUUUAUACUACUGAACUCCGAUUUGUACUAUGAGGAUAUUUUGGAUCGAAAGAAUAUGGUAUAAAAUAAAAUCACAGAAUUUUUUUCGAAGCUUUAAAUAAAAAUACUGCUACCUUUGAUUUUGAAAAUUCAAAGAGAUUUAUGUACAAGUGUCUAGAAAAAACUGAAAAAAGUAGACAACUAAACAAACGAUAUGUCAUUUUGUUGACAAAAAAUAGCUAUGCGCAAGUAUAAACCAAACAACAAGUAAAUGCAUGUAAAAAUAAAUAAUUAAUUACAUAUAACAUACCAAACAUUAGUCGUGACCUCGGUGGCCGAGUGGUCUAAGUAACUACUGUAAUCAAUAGCUAGUCAAAACUGAGGAUGUGAUUGAACCCUGCUCGGGCCGUGCAGGUGCAUUCGACUCCAAUCUUAAUUGACUAGAAUUUCAGUUUUUAUGUCGAAGGUCGGUGAUUUUUCUCCGCGCACUCUGGCUUCCUCCACCAUUAAAAACUUGCCACCACAAAAAUAGCCCAAAAGCGGUGCUAAAAAGUGGCGUAAAAACACAAUAAAAUAAAAUAAAAUCAUACACUAGUAAAUCUUUUUAGUAGUAUCAAUAUUUUGAAAAGUAGCAGUAGUUAUGUCUACAUUUCGAAGUCGGCAAGGGAUUGCUUAAAUAUUGAGGAUAUCAUGAAAUUUUUCCAUUUACACAAUAGCUCUUUGCAUUUCCUAAGCAAAAGGAGACAACCCUAGAAAUAAAACUUGUAUAAAUAUCAAUGUUUAGUAAGCUUUAUCAUUAAAAUUAAAAAAAAAAUGAAUGGAUAGGAAAUUGUAUCUAUCAUUUUUGUCUCAGAAAGAAAAAAAUGCUGACAAAUUUUUCAAAAACUGAAUUUCAGUUGAUUUUACUUCUAAAGAAAUUACAAUAUUAUAGUUUGAACCCACCCACAGUAAACUGUCCUUGAUUGUCAGUAUAUCAACCAACGCCAAAAAAUAUAAUGAUUAUAUACUAAAGGGUCAAUGUAAAACAAAUCCGAUAGACACGAUCAAUAUAUACAAAUACAUAUUUAUGCAAGUAUUAAUCUUUCCUAGUUGAUUAGAUAGUCUUCCUCGGAUGUUAGAUUGUAAAAU